CAUUGAUAGAUGGCGUAUUUUCUAUUUCAAUCGAUAAUGAAGAAUUUCUGUGUUAUCGACGUGCGCAAGUGCCAGUCUUUGCUUUCUGAUAUAAAUCCAAGAUGGCGACUAAUUGAGUAGCUUCUCACUAAUUUCAACGUGCGUUCUAAAUUUUUGCACAGGAAAAAGCUCUGCUGAUCAAAUAAACCAAUGAAAAAACCUGAAAAUACUUAUGUAGAACCGCCAAAAUAGUUUCAUCAAAGUGUUGUUACAUUUUAUUUUAAUAAUAAAAAAUUUAGAAAACGGAAAAGUUUAUUCCUACACAUUUGUCAAUUGUCACUAUGAUUGAAAACACUUUUAUCAUAAUUAAUUGUAACAGCGGAAAUUAAGUAGAUCAUGAGCCAGCCUUUGGAUCCAAGAUAUAUGUAAAUAUACAUACCCAUUUAUCUACAAUUUACUAUUUAUCAAGUUUACUAUAAUAUAUAAUUACCGAAAGACAUAACGGUAGUUUUCUCCAAUUAUCGUAACGUUAAAUUAUUGUAUAAAUUGAGACACUAAAGCUGUAAUUAUUGGUAAUUUGGAUCUAAGUAACGCCCUGUGAGUAUAAUUCUUCAAUUGAUAAUACCUAUUGUGUGAUCAUAAUUCUUUAAGGAUUGUAUUAUAUCAUCUUCUGAGCUUACUAACAUAAAAAAAAACAGAUUGGGAAUUAAAUAGAAAGGAAAAAAUAAGCGUGUUUUUAUUGAACUGCCAUUUUUAGUAAUACGUGACAAGCAUUAUUAUCUAUUAUUUCCGUAAUUUCUUGAAAUAAUUCAAGAAAAAUGUCGUUUUUUAUACCACUUUAUUUCUCAUCCACUUCA
Long non-coding RNA from Chelonus insularis, 836 nucleotides. RefSeq lists it as uncharacterized. The transcript is spliced from 3 exons. Lineage: Eukaryota; Metazoa; Arthropoda; Insecta; Hymenoptera; Braconidae. The record is from RefSeq and is a predicted model, not a curated record.